RNAcentral lists this ribosomal RNA (480 nucleotides) under uncultured bacterium. Its description in RNAcentral is "partial 16S ribosomal RNA". It matches the Rfam family "Bacterial small subunit ribosomal RNA", at positions 29 to 507 of the family's 1533-position model. The record is from RNAcentral.
AUGAACGCUGGCGGCGUGCUUAACCCAUGCCAGUCGCACGAAGCACUUUAUUUGAUUUCCUUCGGGACUGAUUAUUUUGUGACUGAGUGGCGGACGGGUGAGUAACGCGUGGGUAACCUGCCUUGUACAGGGGGAUAACAGUUGGAAACGGCUGCUAAUACCGCAUAAGCGCACGGCAUCGCAUGAUGCAGUGUGAAAAACUCCGGUGGUAUAAGAUGGACCCGCGUUGGAUUAGCUAGUUGGUGAGGUAACGGCCCACCAAGGCGACGAUCCAUAGCCGACCUGAGAGGGUGACCGGCCACAUUGGGACUGAGACACGGCCCAAACUCCUACGGGAGGCAGCAGUGGGGAAUAUUGCACAAUGGGCGAAAGCCUGAUGCAGCGACGCCGCGUGAGCGAAGAAGUAUUUCGGUAUGUAAAGCUCUAUCGGCAGGGAAGAUAAUGACGGUACCUGACUAAGAAGCACCGGCUAAAUACGUG